RNAcentral lists this ribosomal RNA (468 nucleotides) under uncultured bacterium. RNAcentral describes it as "partial 16S ribosomal RNA". It matches the Rfam family "Bacterial small subunit ribosomal RNA", at positions 28 to 507 of the family's 1533-position model. The record is from RNAcentral.
GACGAACGCUGGCGGCGUGCUUAACACAUGCAAGUCGAACGGAAAGGCCCUGCUUUUGUGGGGUGCUCGAGUGGCGAACGGGUGAGUAACACGUGAGUAACCUGCCCUUGACUUUGGGAUAACUUCAGGAAACUGGGACUAAUACCGGAUAGGAGCUCCUGCUGCAUGGUGGGGGUUGGAAAGUUUCGGCGGUUGGGGAUGGACUCGCGGCUUAUCAGCUUGUUGGUGGGGUAGUGGCUUACCAAGGCUUUGACGGGUAGCCGGCCUGAGAGGGUGACCGGCCACAUUGGGACUGAGAUACGGCUCAGACUCCUACGGGAGGCAGCAGUGGGGAAUAUUGCACAAUGGGCGGAAGCCUGAUGCAGCAACGCCGCGUGCGGGAUGACGGCCUUCGGGUUGUAAACCGCUUUCGCCUGUGACGAAGCGUGAGUGACGGUAAUGGGUAAAGAAGCACCGGCUAACUACGUG